CCUACGGGUGGCUGCAGUGGGGGAUAUUGCACCAUGGGGGGAACCCUGAUGCAGCGACGCCGCGUGAGUGAAGGAGUGCUUCGGCAUGUAAAGCCCUAUCAGCAGGGAAGAAGCAAGACUGUACCUAACUAAGAAGCCCCGGCUAACUCCGUGCCAGCAGCCGCGGUAAUACGUAGGGGGCGAGCGUUAUCCGGAUUCACUGGGGGUAAAGGGAGCGUAGACGGCCAAGCAAGCCAGGGGUGAAAGCCCGGGGCCCAACGCCGGGACUGCCCUUGGAACUGGAUGGCUGGAGUGCGGGAGGGGCAGGCGGAAUUCCUGGUGUAGCGGUGAAAGGCGUAGAUAUCAGGAGGAACACCGGCGGCGAAGGCGGCUUGCUGGAACGCGACUGACGUUGAGGCUCGAAAGCGUGGGGAGCGAACAGGAUUAGAUACCCUGGUAGUC
This 441-nucleotide ribosomal RNA is filed under the name uncultured bacterium. RNAcentral describes it as "partial 16S ribosomal RNA". It matches the Rfam family "Bacterial small subunit ribosomal RNA", at positions 338 to 795 of the family's 1533-position model. The record is from RNAcentral.